RNAcentral lists this ribosomal RNA (253 nucleotides) under uncultured bacterium. Its description in RNAcentral is "partial 16S ribosomal RNA". It matches the Rfam family "Bacterial small subunit ribosomal RNA", at positions 524 to 776 of the family's 1533-position model. The record is from RNAcentral.
UACAGAGGUCUCAAGCGUUGUUCGGAUUCAUUGGGCGUAAAGGGUGCGUAGGUGGCGUCGUAAGUCAGGUGUGAAAUUUCGGAGCUUAACUCCGAAACUGCAUUUGAUACUGCGGUGCUUGAGGACUGGAGAGGAGACUGGAAUUUACGGUGUAGCAGUGAAAUGCGUAGGGAUCGUAAGGAAGACCAGUGGCGAAGGCGGGUCUCUGGACAGUUCCUGACACUGAGGCACGAAGGCCAGGGGAGCAAACGGG